AGAGUUUGAUCCUGGCUCAGAUUGAACGCUGGCGGCAUGCUUUACACAUGCAAGUCGAACGGUAACAGGGAGCUUGCUCCGCUGACGAGUGGCGAACGGGUGAGUAAUAUAUCGGAACGUACCCAAGAGUGGGGGAUAACGUAGCGAAAGUUACGCUAAUACCGCAUACGAUCUAAGGAUGAAAGCAGGGGACCGCAAGGCCUUGUGCUCCUGGAGCGGCCGAUAUCUGAUUAGCUAGUUGGUAGGGUAGAGGCCUACCAAGGCAUCGAUCAGUAGCUGGUCUGAGAGGACGACCAGCCACACUGGAACUGAGACACGGUCCAGACUCCUACGGGAGGCAGCAGUGGGGAAUUUUGGACAAUGGGCGCAAGCCUGAUCCAGCAAUGCCGCGUGAGUGAAGAAGGCCUUCGGGUUGUAAAGCUCUUUUGUCAGGGAAGAAACGGGUGGGGCUAAUAUCCCUAUCUAAUGACGGUACCUGAAGAAUAAGCACCGGCUAACUACGUGCCAGCAGCCGCGGUAAUACGUAGGGUGCAAGCGUUAAUCGGAAUUACUGGGCGUAAAGCGUGCGCAGGCGGUUUUGUAAGUUUGUCGUGAAAUCCCCGGGCUCAACCUGGGAAUGGCGAUGAAGACUGCAAGGCUAGAGUUUGGCAGAGGGGGGUAGAAUUCCACGUAGCAGUGAAAUGCGUAGAGAUGUGGAGGAACACCGAUGGCGAAGGCAGCCCCCUGGGUCAAAACUGACGCUCAUGUACGAAAGCGUGGGGAGCAAACAGGAUUAGAUACCCUAGUAGUCC
RNAcentral lists this ribosomal RNA (791 nucleotides) under uncultured bacterium. RNAcentral describes it as "bacterial SSU rRNA". It matches the Rfam family "Bacterial small subunit ribosomal RNA", at positions 8 to 796 of the family's 1533-position model. The record is from RNAcentral.